ACAAAGAGCUAUGGUAAAGUGAAGUUUCAUUGCCCAGAGCUAAAGAAAGCAUCCUCUCAGAUGGCAGAUACAGAUACAGAUACAGGGUUGAAUCUUCUGGUGGAGAACCUCUUGGAUUCAGUAAGAGAAAAAGCGAAGUUUAUUGCAGACAAUUCGAAGCUGCAGAUUUAUGAUUUAGAGGAUGACUUUUUACAUCUUGAGGAACAAGUUCAACGCCUACGAGCGCUCCUAAAUAUUGCUGCACAAUGGCAGAUAAAUACUAGCAGUAAGUGGAAACAGUUGGUCAAUAAGGACAUUCGAAUUACGGUACAUAGAGCUGAGGAUGUAAUUGAUGGCUUGGCUCUUAUGUUUCAGCUUUACCUUGAUAAAAAACAGGGACUUAUCGUAUUUGAUAGUAUAAGAGGAGACUCAGUCAGGAUUAUAAGAAGAGACUCAGUCAGUAAUCUUGCAACUAAGAUCGACGGCCUCAACGAGAAGGUGAAGGAAUUUCUUCAAAACAAUCAACCAGCUGUUCAGCCGGAAAAAAAUUCCCAGGAUCUUCCGCUCAAGGAAAACGAAGUCGUUGGCUUAAAAGAAGAAGCAGAAAAAGUGAUCAAGCGACUUGUUGACAGAUCUGAGGAUCUCAAUGUUGUCCCUGUUGUAGGUAUGCAUGGACUUGGUAAAACAACAUUGGCAAUAAAAGUUUUUAACGAUCCCCAGAUUUUAAAUCAAUUUGACAGCAGAAUAUGGGUUUAUGUCGGCCAAUCAUAUGAAAUAAAGGAUAUCUUUAUCAAUAUCCUCACAUGUUUCACAGAUCGCAUUGAAGAAUACCAAGACAAAGACGUGAAUGAAAUAGCUAAGGUAAUAUGUGAUUUUGUGCCUAAAGAAGGUAAAUGUCUCAUUGUCUUGGACGAUGUCUGGGCAAUAGGUGUUGUCGAUUUUGUCAAGAAAACUUUCCCUGAAAACAGCAAAGGACACCGGAUCAUGAUGACCACUCAUAGGCAAGAUGUGGCUAGUUGUGCCAAUCCAAAUCCUCAUGAUCUAAAAUUUCUGACCCAGACGGAAAGUUUUCUAUUGUUGAAAAGCAGAGUUUUCGGUAGUGGAUGUUUUCCUGAAGAAUUAACAGAACUUGGAGAAAGCAUUGCACAAAAAUGUUGUGGGGUACCACUUGCAAUAAUAGUAAUUGCAGGAGCUUUAAGAGGUCGUAAGGACAAAAAUAAUUGGCUCAAAGUUCAGAAAUAUUUUUGGCAGCACCUUAUUAUUAAAGAUGACCCUACAAGAUGCUGGAAGUUUGUUGAAAUGAGCUACAAUUGUUUGCCCCAAGAAAUGAAGGAGUGCUUCUUGUAUUGCGGAAUUUUUCCUCGAGGCUUUGAUAUCCCUGCUUGGAAAUUGAUCCGUCUCUGGAUUGCGGAGGGAUUGAUAAAAUCCAGCCCAGGUUACGCCUUGGAGGAGGUAGCGGAAAAUAAUUUGAACGAGCUCGUCAAUAGAAAUUUAGUGAUUGUGGUACAGAAGAAGUUUGACAGUCGAAUAAAAACAUGUCGUCUUCAUGACAUGGUACAAGAGUUUUGCAAGAUGGAGGCUACUAGAGAAUGUCUUUUUCAUGAAGUAUCUCUAACACCCGAUCAAGCAAUUCCAGAUGAUUCUCGUCGAUUGUGUAUCCGAUCACGUUUUCUAGGUGAUUUUCUGUCCAGAAAACCAUACGCGGAACAUGUCAGGUCUUUCUUAUGCUUUUCCCCAACCCAGUUGUCUCCGUAUCUAGUGACACUCCUGCACAAAGCGUUUGCACUCAUAAGGGUUUUGGAUGUUGAGCCCACCAAUUUUAUUUUUUCCAGAUAUUUUAAUGUGCUUUAUCAUUUGAAGUAUAUGGCUUUCUCAGGUGACUUUACGGCCAUUCCCCCGCCAUUUUGUAGAUUUCUGAAUUUACAAACUCUUAUAUUUAAUACGACUAGUAAAAGGAAGCGCUACUUGGAAACAAGAUGGGAAAUAUGGAACAUGUUACGGUUGAGGCAUCUGCACAGUAACAUUCCUGUACGAUUGCCAAGACCUAAAACCCCAAAAGGUGAAAUUUCUUGCCUGCGAACUCUUUCUAUGGUUGCACCAGAAAGUUGCAACAGUUGUGUGCUUGCAAAAGUUGGUAAUCUCAAAAAAUUGAGUAUUAAAGGGAAUAUGGCCCCUUUUCUUGAAAUUAACAAGGAUGGAUUCAGCAAUCAUGGAGAGUUGAAGUGCCUGGAAAAUUUGAAACUAUUGAAUGAUGUCUUUACAAUGAUUUCAGUGCUUCACCUUCCUCCAAAUUUCUUCAGAUUUGCUCGUACACUAAAGAAGUUAACUUUAUCGGACACAAGGUUUGAUUGGCGUGAGGCAAUUGGACUGGAGCAGCUGGAAUGCCUUGAGGUUCUAAAGUUGAAAGACGCUUUCACCGGAAAGUCAUGGAAGCUAGAGGUAGGUUUUAGCGAACUCCAAGCCUUGUCGAUUGAUACAACAGAUUUUGAAACAUGGGAGGCUUCAACUCAUCAUUUCCCAAGACUUAGGCACCUUGUUCUUAUUUACUGUGAUAAACUUGAGGCUGUUCCGGCUACGUUUGCUGAUAUACCUAGCCUUCGAGAGAUGAGGCUUGAAAACACAAGCAAAGCGGUCAGAUCUGCAAAAGAAAUAGAAAGAAAGAAACAAGAGAUGCAAUUUCUGAACAACAUUGAAUUCAAGCUUACUAUAUCUUUCGAUGUUGAUUACAAUGAAGUUGAAGACUUGUGCGGUAUUGUUAGUCCCAACAUUGUCAUAAUAACCAUUCAGUUCUUUCCAUGUAUGUUAGCCAACUCCAGUUCUAACUUUAGUUGACUUUUAUGGUUACCAGCUGGAGUACUGUGAUUAAUUUAGUCAUUUAACAGCCUCUUGCAAAAAUGCAGGGUAAAACUGCGUACGAUAGACCUUUGUGGUCCGGCCUUUCCCCGGACCCUGCGCAUAGCAGAAGCUUAGGGCACCGGGCUGCCCUUUUUAUUGCCACACCCAAAAAGAUUCCAAAGAAACCUAACUGCAACAUUGUUUCUUUCUAGAUUUCACUAAUUUUCUUCUAUUUGUUUUCUCCUUUUUGCAGGAGGGAAUCAGAGGAAUGACACUUAUGCGAGCCUGUGAUCAUAGACAAGUCGAAUGCUCUUUCAUAUGGAGUCAGCCGCAUUUCAUGUUUUCUGCAGGCUAUUCGUCCUAACAGUCUGUUCCAAUAAAAAUCCCGUUUACGUUUUAUUGUAUGAGCUCCACUUUCUGCUUUUAACACCUUUUCUAGGUUUCAAAACUUUUCAAGUUCUCAAUUAUGUGAAAUUGUUUUCUUUUUGAAUGGUUAACACAGCUCUGUCCAUCUAGUUUGUUGUGAUGUAUUUAUUUGCUUUACUGUUGUUUUCUCUGCUUAAGCAUGGGUACCACCGUACCAACCUGAAAGACAUGUUCCUUGAACCAGAUAAAGGAGCUAUGAAUUUUAUUUGGCAUGUGUAAUAUCAGAGAUGAAUUGUGGUUAUCUUCAAAUUUAUUAUUACUACUUCAUUUGCUUCCCUAUAGGUCUAAAUUGGUUGAAGAUGGAUGAACAAUGUACAGAUGGGAAGGCAAUGUUGAGAAGUGGAAACAAGAAGGGGCAAAUUUGGAAUGGUGUUGGUGCUACAACAUUUGUUUGAUUGUGUUUGUAUUGUUUAGCAAUGUAAUUGUUACAUUAAAAAAAAUUGUUUGUUGAAUAAUGAUACUAAUAAUUGUUCAAUUAGUAUUAUUAUACGUAGACCUCC
Non-coding RNA from Nicotiana tabacum (common tobacco), 3740 nucleotides. The record is from RefSeq and is a predicted model, not a curated record. NCBI's taxonomy places the organism in Eukaryota, Viridiplantae, Streptophyta, Magnoliopsida, Solanales, Solanaceae.